This 400-nucleotide ribosomal RNA is filed under the name uncultured bacterium. RNAcentral describes it as "bacterial SSU rRNA". It matches the Rfam family "Bacterial small subunit ribosomal RNA", at positions 355 to 768 of the family's 1533-position model. The record is from RNAcentral.
UGGGGAAUAUUGGGCAAUGGGCGAAAAGCCUGACCCAGCGACGCCGCGUGGGGGAAGAAGUCUUUCGGGAUGUAAACCCUUGUUGUACGGGACGAAGGAAGUGACGGUACCGUACGAGGAAGCCCCGGCAAACUACGUGCCAGCAGCCGCGGUAAUACGUAGGGGGCGAGCGUUGUCCGGAAUUACUGGGCGUAAAGCGCACGUAGGCGGGCUGUUAAGUCGGCCGUGAAAGGCACUGGCUCAACCGGUGUUUGUCGGUCGAUACUGGCGGUCUGGAGUAUGGGAGAGGGAACUGGAAUUCCCGGUGUAGCGGUGAAAUGCGUAGAUACCGGGAGGAACACCAGUGGCGAAGGCGGGUUCCUGGCCCAUUACUGACGCUGAGGUGCGAAAGCCGGGGGAG